AGUUGUAUAUUUGAGUCUUACAUCUAUACUAAUCUAAUAUUUUAGCCUUCUAGAUAAAAAAGGGAAAAACCUAAGUUCCAAUCUGGCUUUUCCAAUUUUGUUCCUGUUUAAUAGGAAAAGACAAUCAUCACCAAGGUUCUUACAAUGAUGGAGCUCAGAUGAAUGGCAUUCAGCCAGAAGAAAUUAGUAGGUUGCGAGAAGAAAUAGAAGAAUUAAAAAGUAACCAGGAACUUUUGCAAAGCCAGUUGGCUGAAAAGGACUCUUUGAUUGAAAAUUUGAAAUCUCCAACAUCUGGCAUGAAUGAGCAGUCUUCAGCAACAGCCUCAGCUAGAGAUUCUGAACAAGUUGCAGAAUUAAAACAGGAGGUGGCAGCAUUGAAGGCUCAGCUAAACGCAGUCUGUAGAGAUUACACGACUACAGACAGAAAAGCAUGACUUACUACAGAAAACAGAAGCAUUUUCAAAAUCAGUUCCUGUACAAGGAGAGAGUGAAAAUGUAAUAGCUGCUAAAACUACUGAUGUAGAAGGAAGACUAUCUGCAUUACAACAAGAGACCAAAGAACUAAAGGUUGGCUUGGUUUUU
Molecule: long non-coding RNA, 582 nt
Organism: Perognathus longimembris pacificus (Pacific pocket mouse)
Lineage: Eukaryota; Metazoa; Chordata; Mammalia; Rodentia; Heteromyidae
Exons: 4
Source: RefSeq, a predicted model, not a curated record